Molecule: ribosomal RNA, 305 nt
Filed under: uncultured bacterium
Lineage: Bacteria
Description: partial 16S ribosomal RNA
Rfam family: Bacterial small subunit ribosomal RNA
Source: RNAcentral
ACAGCAGUAGCCGCGGUAAUACGUAGGGUGCAAGCGUUAAUCGGAAUUACUGGGCGUAAAGCGUGCGCAGGCGGUUAUAUAAGACAGAUGUGAAAUCCCCGGGCUCAACCUGGGAACUGCAUUUGUGACUGUAUAGCUAGAGUACGGCAGAGGGGGAUGGAAUUCCGCGUGUAGCAGUGAAAUGCGUAGAUAUGCGGAGGAACACCGAUGGCGAAGGCAAUCCCCUGGGCCUGUACUGACGCUCAUGCACGAAAGCGUGGGGAGCAAACAGGAUUAGAUACCCCAGUAGUCCCUGUCUCUUAUAC